RNAcentral lists this unclassified non-coding RNA (5409 nucleotides) under Acanthaster planci (crown-of-thorns starfish). RNAcentral describes it as "uncharacterized LOC110990157, transcript variant X1". The record is from RNAcentral. Lineage: Eukaryota; Metazoa; Echinodermata; Asteroidea; Valvatida; Acanthasteridae.
CCCCCUGUAUAUGAAUGAGAGUGGAUGUUACGUAAUUAAUCCAGCAUUUAUGUGCAAUAGUAUGGGCUGUGUCCAAGGUGGGUAUCAUGUGGCUAUGGCUUUGUAUUUUUACCAAGGUAUUAUUUGACAUGAAACGGCAACUAGUUGCAGUCGUGUGGACAUUACAUUGCCCAUUUGGGACGCAGCUCAACUUUCAUCUCCAAAAAUGUGAAAACUCGAAAGUACACCAUGUGGGCUAUACAUGUAGGUACGUGGUAGCAAUGGCAUUCACAUAUCAUCCCAGCCUAGCUCUUUACAUGAGGGAGUGCUUGUGUACAGAAGCUAUUUGUUGCGGUUAGCGUCUACUAGUUAAAGCUAAACUAGGAUCCAUCAGUAACAAAGAGGAUGCCAGCUGAAUCAUCAUAUUCAAGCUAACCAUCUCUUGUUCACUUCGCAGAUCAGCUUUGCAGUGUCCAACUGUAAAGCGAGAUCUUGAUGUCAUUUGAGCUGGAUUCGAUGCCCAGCCAAUUCUACAGAGCUGCAGCCUAAGUAUAGAAAUUUCUUCUGGCGUAGCAAUAUAUUUGCUCAACAGUAAGGACGAGAUAUCUGAGCCAAAAUGCCGCAUGACCAUUUGACAUAUAUAUCUAGGGAAUGUUUUCACAGUUGAUUGCUGCAUAGACAUUUGCCAAGCUGUAUUACCUACCUACCCAGCUCCACGAAUUUGCCCAUCUUACCAAGUUAAUUAGCCAAGGACUGUACAGAUCAGAUGACAACUCCCAAAACAGUUGGGCUGGGGACUCAUGCAAUGGAGGAGGGGAGACAUGCCAGAUGUGCUACACCCCCUUCCCCGUUGGAAAUGUUGAAAUGUCCACAUCCUAUCUGGCACAGUCAAUUUUGCUGACAGUGUCCCUUCAAAUUUCACCCUAAUUUCACUACUGCCUUCAAAAAUUAAAACAUAAAGAGUAAGUCCUAAAGGUAUUGUAGGGAUUUUUAGAGAAUAUCCUGAUCUUUCUGGUCAUGAACAAGGAAAUAUCUCUCAUCUGUAGCUGUAAACUACCAGCAGAAAUAAAAUCUAGCACUUGGUACACAAAUGACUGGUAUGUUAUUUUGCCAUUUUUUUAAAGUAUAUGAGCAUAUACAUAGUACAAGCAUCUGUCAGCAACAUCUUUUUUUCUCCCGACGUGGACAACUUUUCAAAUAAGCUGCUUCUCAGAAGGUUCAUUCCUUGUCAGAUUUGUACAUGAAGACUGUGCUGCACAUAGACCUGCCAGCAUUGUGCCAUUCGCGUUGCCGAUGAUGAGUUUGAAUGCAUUUCAUUUUGUAUCAGGGAAACUAGACUCGAGUAGGACAAAGGAAUGGGAGAAAAAAAUGAGGGAACAGAUGGAUAGGUUGGUGUUUGUUCUGAUGCAAUCAAAGGAUGGCGAAUUUUCAAAACAAAAAUCACAUGUACAUGUAUAGUACUUGUCCUUGGUGUUUUGAUGGAUGGUUCAUAUUUGGCAGAAGUUAUCUCUUCAGAUGUGUGCGUGCAUGCACACGUUAGAAUUAAUUUACAAAAUUCUCAUCUUGACAAUAUAAAGAUUGAGUUUAUUAUGAAAAGACCUGACAGGUAUGCACUCUCCCAAGGUAAUCUAAAGUCACUGAUUGCCUAUAGUACUCAACAGAGCUGAAGUUAUUCCCAUCUUAUCUCACUUUCGCAGAGCUAUCGAUUGCUUAACAAAUUUCAAGCAACAGAAAUGAACAGAAAAUCAUUAAGUACACGGAGCAAUACAGAGCACAUGACAGGCUACCUGGGGAUGUGUUUAAUUGUUGAGUGAAUCACAUGUCUGAACUGUACAACUGUAAAUUGUUGUUUUUAGAGGCAGGUUCAUACGUUUGGCUUCCUGCGGAUCUCAACCUUUAAACUAUCAGCUUGCUCAUACGUGUGGUAUUUCUUUGAAGUGAAUAACUUUUGUAGCUUCUGCAGCCCACAGUAUGCAGAGGCUAAUGGACUGCGUUGGAGGGUAUUUUUUUAAAAAUUGAAUCCACCUUUGCAAGUCAUUUUUCAGUCCAAGUCAUCAACUAAAUAUGAUCAGAUGAGCAGCCUGCUCUGUUAUGGUGAAAACACCAUCUGGCUCACAUGUGCUCAUUGUUCCUGUGAAUUUCUUUAACCUUUGCAGACAUUACAUUCUGCUUACAGGCUUUUUUUAUGCCAAACUAACAAUCAGUUUGCUUUUCAUAGCCAAGCAGUUAUGCCAAUCCAGUUGUUGCCGUGGGCCAUAUCGGCAUUUCAUGCAAUUGCGUCUCAUUUGUAGGACAUGGACAAAUGGGAAGGUUUUAAGGUAGCACAUUUGGUUUUUGUUCUGCAUUAGGAUUCAUUGUGCAGUGCCUGGUGACAAUCAUCAUGCAGUGCAGCCAGGCUGCUUUCAGUGGGAGGUCUCACGAGUUUGGGAAAAUUACGGAAUAGGGGAAAUCAAUUUGCACAUAUGCAGGGCAGGCGACAUUCAUUUUUUCUGCCCAAAAUGAUCGAUGUCGCUCUGAAAUUUUGCCGUCAGAUUUGACAAACAUUUCUAGAAACGCCCACAUCCAUUAAGCAGGAGGGAGCCUAUAGCUGUGUUUCUUCAUCUUGAUUAUUGAUGGUUGGUUCUAUAUUGCUGAUUAUCAUAAAAGAAUGUGUGUGCUUGCGAUUGGCUGCUGUAGCUUGCCCAUUUGUGGCCCUCAGGACAACUGUCUCUGCAAUAUGCCAGUGUAUCCUGUGAAAAUGAAGAGUGUUGACUUGAUACUCUUGUUUCAUAACAAACUCCAGUUAUAUGCUAAUUGUAUCCCACCAACAAAAUGUUAUCUCCUGAGUAAAUAAUUCCUCUCAGCCACUGGGGCCAGUCAUAACAGAGUGAAAUUUGAGUAGCCAUUCAUAGUCGUUCAUGUUCAACUCCCUGUAUGUAAAUAUACUGUAUGUAUAUAACUAUACUUUCCGAGACAGAGCACCUUAAUAGGCACUUACAUGUAAGGGUGACUGAAAAUUUGAAAAUUGAGUAUAGCAGUUUAUGUACAAGUACUUCAACAGGAUGUACUUUUUUGGUAUAUGCACAGCAAUGUUAUAAUGUACGUAUACGUUGGUAAACCACAGGAGCUUGAGGUUUUCAAAUGCAUUGAAUCAUUACAAGUUUUCUGAUGAGAACUUGUGUAAGUUCAGUUCUUUACGCAGAGGGAUAAAACAAUCGGUUAUAUCGCUCAAUCUGUGGAGGUCAUUUUUGUCAUCUGUCAAGGUUUUUUUGGGUGGGGGUUGGUAAGGAACUUGUUGUGGUAUUCUCCCAAAAGGCAGAUAUUGCCAAUAAUGAAAUGGCCAAUUCUAGAUGAUAUUUUUAAUAUUUCCUUAUCCAUGUAGGGGACAACAUGAUGUUUGUUUCACAACAGGACACAUUUUUUAUGUCUUGCAUUUUUCAUUAAUGUGUUGAAUUCUUUAACAAUGGCCCAAGCUAAAAUGCCACUCUUUGCUUGUUCACAGACUGAUACCAACUUUUGGUGAAACUGAAAGUGAACCAUGUGGAAGGAAGUGAUUGCAAAAGAGCUGUGUUUUGAAAUCUUUCAUGUCGUUUGUUUUCUUUGAAUACUUCAUACACAGCCCGUGCUGCUGCUUAUCUGUUGUAAGUUUAUUGUGUAGUAUGAUUACCUAGUCCAGAGAGAAAGCCAGAGAAAAUUGUAAACGUAACAGGGAAGGAAACGAACAAGGAAGUUGUUGGAAUAAUUUUUGAUCAGUUACACCAGUUAUUUGUAGCACAGCAAAUGUGAGACUUGAAAGGCAGAUGCAGAGAAGCACAUGAUGUAUAUGCAUUAUAGGAUGCAUGGAAGAAUGUUGUUACCAUUAAUUUCCAUUUCCACAUUGCUCCAUGGAUACCUACUUAACCUCCACGAGGAAGUUACUAAGAAGAGCUUAUUAUCAAGUGUCAAAGCUGACCCUUCGGCCUUACGGUUGGCUUCGAACCUUGCCCAUUAGGAGAACGGCUGCUGCUGUUGGUACUUUUGCCCCCUGUCGGCAAAGACAAGAGCAUUUUGAGCUGGGGAAGAAUGAUCUCAGCGUUGGCUGCUGCAGUCAAGUUGGAGAGGAGAGUGCGGAAGAAAGUGACUGGUCUUCAGAGGAUGAAGGCUCUGCCUCCAGACGGGUCCGUAAUGAUGGCGGCCACAGGAAAGCGCGGCGCAACCGGUCCCGCAGAGACCGUAAGCAAAAGGACGCUAAAUUGGAUGAGAAGCAGAAAGUCAGCAAACCCCCCGAGGAGAAACAGGAGAAUACGGCCACACCGGCCCCCAGCGCUCCGGUCACCCGGCUGGCCGAAGUCCUGUCCAGCAAGGAAGGGCUGAAGAGCGCUGCCUUGAAGUCCACUGCCAGGGAUAACUCCAAUGCCAAGGACGAGGCAGAAGGAAAGGUCUCCGAAGAAGUGCACAGCGACUCAACAACAAUCAUCAAGAUAAAACCCCCACCCACUGCACCCAAGCCCAGGGCAAAACGGACCAACAGCACCAAGUCCAGCGACGGCAUGGAGGACAAGCCUGGAGAGUCAAGAAACUGCAAAGCUGCAGAAGAUAAGAACACAGACGAAGUGACAGCCACCUUUGGUCCAGUAGAUGACAACAUUUUUGACGGGAUGGAGAUCACUAAGCCAAAGCUGACAUCUUACAAGCGCACCAUGGGGCCGCAGGGCCGUCGCCUGCCCCAGCGCUACUCCAACCAGGUCCAGUCGCAGCGCUUCUCCAACCAAAGCACCAAUUCCCUGGCCGCUGUGUCCGCCUAACGACUCACAGUCUGGACAAUGAGAGGUCUUCUUCUUCAGGAUUGUAAAUAAAGACAUGUAAUUAUUAAUUCAAUUGUUCUUCUUUCAAUACCUUCAAAUAGCCAACAAUCAAUGACGCUUGAGACUUUGAAGUUAUCUGUUGCACUAUAGAGAGAGAGAGAUAAAAAAGAGAUGGGUAUUUAAAAAGACAAGAUCAGAAGGUUUGCUGUGUUGAAAUGUUUCAGUCUCCAUGAUCGUGUCAGAACUAGGCGUUGUCAAGCUAACACUUCUGUCAGAUUGCAAGUAAAGCAUGUUGUGUAUCGCUUUUAAGCCGUGCCUAUCCGAUGGUUCUGUUUGUGGCCAUGGACAAGUGUCCCUGGCAGGCUCUUGAUUGUCACUGCCAUCUUGCAGCCAAUGUCCACACCAAGAGCCUACGGCCAGUGCACAUUCUGACCAAGCUUCUUUUGAAAAUAAAGACAGAAUAAACAAGUACAUCGCACAUGUUGUAUUGUCCUAAGGGGCAUUGUUGCCAAGACAACAAAAGUGAAGAAAAAAAGCGAAGGUGAGUAUUGCCGCAAAAAAUAAAGACAGAAUAAACAAGUACAUUGCACAUGUUGUAUUGUCCUAAGGGGCAUCGUUGCCAAGACAACAAAAGUGAAGAAAAAAAGCGAAGGUGUGUAUUGCCGCA